GCGCAGGUGGUAGAGUGGUCAAUUACAUGAGACUGUAAAUCUCACGCCUUCGGGCUUCGGGGGUUCGAAUCCCUCCCUGCGCA
RNAcentral lists this transfer RNA (83 nucleotides) under Patescibacteria group bacterium. RNAcentral describes it as "tRNA-Tyr". It matches the Rfam family "tRNA". Rfam says of the family: Transfer RNA (tRNA) molecules are approximately 80 nucleotides in length. RNAcentral also lists the same sequence under 1 other name. The record is from RNAcentral.